This 338-nucleotide ribosomal RNA is filed under the name uncultured bacterium. Its description in RNAcentral is "partial 16S ribosomal RNA". It matches the Rfam family "Bacterial small subunit ribosomal RNA", at positions 338 to 668 of the family's 1533-position model. The record is from RNAcentral.
CCUACGGGAGGCAGCAGUAGGGAAUCUUCCACAAUGGACGAAAGUCUGAUGGAGCAACGCAGCGUGAGUGAAGAAGGGUUUCGGCUCGUAAAGCUCUGUUUUUAGAGAAGUAAGAUAGCGGUAGUAACUGGCCUUUAUUUGACGGUAAUUACUUAGAAAGUCACGGCUAACUACGUGCCAGCAGCCGCGGUAAUACGUAGGUGGCUUGCGCUGUCCGGAUUUAUUUGGUGUAAAGCGAGUGCAGGCGGUUCAAUAAGUCUGAUGUGAAAGGCUUCGGCUCAACCGGAGAAUUGCAUCAGAAACUGGUGGACUUGAGUGCAGUAGAGGAGGGUGGAAUU